Non-coding RNA from Penaeus vannamei (Pacific white shrimp), 603 nucleotides. The record is from RefSeq and is a predicted model, not a curated record. Lineage: Eukaryota; Metazoa; Arthropoda; Malacostraca; Decapoda; Penaeidae.
GGAAAGGAGGGGGAGGAGGAGGGAGGAGGAGGGCGGGGAGCAGCAGCGGCUCCGGCGACGCCAAGUCCACCUCCUCAGGGGCCUCCGACAUGAGCGACUACCUGGACACCCUCAGCCUCUCGUCCUCGCACUCGUCCUCGGACCACGACCGACUGCUGGCCCGCUCUUCCGUGAACACCCUGAGGCCUCGGUCGGGCAGGGAGUACACUCGCCUGGACCGACACGGCCUGUGUACCGAGAGUAAGACGCUGCCGGUGCUGGGAGAGGCGCCCCCCCACUGAAUCCGCGGGCGUACAUGGUGCUACUUGACCAGGAGUUACUCCGGCCGAGGCUUAGGUCGCCCUCGUCAUCCUCCUCUUCCUCUUUAUCCUCUUUUCCCUCUUCUUCCUCUUUAUCCUCUCUUUCCUCUUCUUCCGGACCAGGUGCUACUUCCGGAGGCGAGGUCAGAGGUCAGGAGGAAGUGUGGCUCCCGAGUUGAGGGGUUGUUUGUUAUCUUUCUUAUCGCUGUGUUUUAGUUUCGUCUUCGGAGGUGUCCUACAACGAUUCUUAGAAAAAGGAAGAAAGAAGAAUAUAGAAAAAAAACUUACUCCCAAGAACAAAGAA